CCUACGGGGGGCAGCAGUGGGGAAUAUUGGACAAUGGGGGCAACCCUGAUCCAGCCAUGCCGCGUGUGUGAAGAAGGCCCUCGGGUUGUAAAGCACUUUCAGUGAGGAAGAACGCCUGGUGGUUAAUACCCAUCAGGAAAGACAUCACUCACAGAAGAAGCACCGGCUAACUCCGUGCCAGCAGCCGCGGUAAUACGGAGGGUGCGAGCGUUAAUCGGAAUUACUGGGCGUAAAGCGCGCGUAGGUGGCUUGAUAAGCCGGUUGUGAAAGCCCCGGGCUCAACCUGGGAACGGCAUCCGGAACUGUCAAGCUAGAGUGCAGGAGAGGAAGGUAGAAUUCCCGGUGUAGCGGUGAAAUGCGUAGAAAUCGGGAGGAAUACCAGUGGCGAAGGCGGCCUUCUGGACUGACACUGACACUGAGGUGCGAAAGCGUGGGUAGCAAACAGGAUUAGAUACCCCAGUAGUC
This 465-nucleotide ribosomal RNA is filed under the name Vreelandella stevensii. Its description in RNAcentral is "partial 16S ribosomal RNA". It matches the Rfam family "Bacterial small subunit ribosomal RNA", at positions 338 to 795 of the family's 1533-position model. The record is from RNAcentral. Lineage: Bacteria; Pseudomonadati; Pseudomonadota; Gammaproteobacteria; Oceanospirillales; Halomonadaceae.